GUCAAGCUUAAACUGCGACUCCGAGACGCCGGGAACGCGCGAACCACCAACGCUGAUCCCAAGAAGCUGAAGAUAAUAGAACGUGUCGAGCUUCGGAUUCGUCAAUAACGUCGUGAAGACGGAGGUUUCCGGAACGGCGUCGUUUCCGAAGACGAUAGUCGACGGAGGUUUGGAAGCGGAACCGGAACUCGUCCGGUCGACUAAACAGUAAGAGAAUUUAGCGUUGUAACGGUUUUUCGUCUGCGUAAGCUUCUAAAUUUUGGUGCAUAUAACUUUUAUAAAGACUCUAUACAUGUUUUUGGAUUAAAUAUUCAGUGGCUCAAUUUAUGACCAAGUGCUCUCUAGAGUUAGUUGAAGAAAUUUCAAGAUGUUUUAGUUUGUCAAAAGAUGUACAACACUGUGAAUGUGAUGGUAAUUAAAGAUAUUUCAAAGAAUACAUUACAUUUAAGAUUUACUUCUCUUUGAGUUAACAUAAAGAACUUUUUUUAACACAAGUCACUGAAUGAGUAAAUUCUCCUCCACUCAUGUCACAGAUUCAGUUAAAAAAUGAUCCAUCAUGAAAUCAUCAUUAAUGAGUAAUGAGUGGUAUGAUGAAUAGAUGAUGUCAUGUUGACGACAAAUAUGGAUAAAAUUCUUAUUUUUAAAAUUGUUCUUUGGGAAUAAUUAAUCAGUCAAGUCAGACACAAAAACCUAACAUGCGCCAGACAUAAACCCGACCCGUGACCCGACUAAGUCGUAAGCCACACGGAAACCUUGUUGCUGUAUGUUCCCAAUAAUCGACAAACUCCCCAUUGUGCCGGCGAACGCAAAACAGAACCGCCCUUGACUGUUCACCGGAAUAAGAUAAUUACUUGCCGGAAGCGAAACAUCUCCUCCGCUGAAAUGAAACACCACCGUCGGAACUUUCACCGUCGUCAUCCCGGAAAGAUCGAAACACGUGUCGAACAGAGAAUACGACGGAGCACGUUUAAGCCUCGUCGCUCCGAGAAGAAACGCAUCUCUGAACGCCACAUAAGCCGGUCGAGUCAGCCGAGUAACCGAAGUACCGGAAUCUAUAAUCACUCCGCCGUCUCCGGUGGGGUCAAGCUUAAACUGCGACUCCGAGACGCCGGGAACGCGCGAACCACCAACGCUGAUCCCAAGAAGCUGAAGAUAAUAGAACGUGUCGAGCUUCGGAUUCGUCAAUAACGUCGUGAAGACGGAGGUUUCCGGAACGGCGUCGUUUCCGAAGACGAUAGUCGACGGAGGUUUGGAAGCGGAACCGGAACUCGUCCGGUCGACUAAACAGUAAGAGAAUUUAGCGUUGUAACGGUUUUUCGUCUGCGAGGGAAACGAUAACCCUCCGCGGCCCAGGCCCAACAGCCCAGCCG
This 1370-nucleotide long non-coding RNA is filed under the name Brassica napus (rape). RNAcentral's name for it is "long non-coding RNA (BNAP_LNC006137)". The record is from RNAcentral. Lineage: Eukaryota; Viridiplantae; Streptophyta; Magnoliopsida; Brassicales; Brassicaceae.